This is a non-coding RNA of Drosophila virilis, 1334 nucleotides long. NCBI's taxonomy places the organism in Eukaryota, Metazoa, Arthropoda, Insecta, Diptera, Drosophilidae. The record is from RefSeq and is a predicted model, not a curated record.
UAUUUAUUCUUAUCACGACAUAGAUAACCCCUCAGGAAAUUGUCUUGAGAAUAUAAAUCAUUUGCUAGAAUUACCUGUCCGCCUUGAAAUCGUUUCAUAUGUGAAUGCUAGCAGCAGAAGUCGUUGAUGGCAUUUCCUCUAUCGAUGGUGGCGAUGUUUACGAUGGUGAUGCAAUCGCUUGCGAUGGUUGGUCAAGGUGUGGGCCUCAUGUUUUGAAUCAGAACAUUGUACAAUUUUGUUGUCGGAGCUGAAACAAAAAAUGCAUGCAUAGAAGGGAAAAUGUCGCCUGGCUCCUACAUCGACUGACAGCGAAAAGCUUAACUCCAUCUUUACUGGUACAGACGGCAACUGCAACUUUUCGGCUCAAAUUCAAGAACCGGGCGGUCGUGCGAUAGCGGAAUGGCGGGGCGUUGCCGUGUUCCUCCAAAAUGUUGGGGCUGAUUCUGCGAUACCCUAAAUACAGUGAAAAUGGGGAAAAGUUGGUUUUGAAUCAUAGUUUUGUGUAAAUAUAUGUAACAGUAAGAAGGAAGCACCUCCGAUACCAUAAAGUAUAUACAUUCUUGGCCAACAUUAAUAAUUAAGUCGAUCUCGUUUCAGUAUGUUGAAGGUUGUUCAAGCCCUCUCAGUUUGUUUCCGAUAGUCGGUAACAUCCACAAUUCCAAGCAAUUGAUAUAAAUCUAUAUUAAAUUCCUGUUCUUUAUGAAUACCUCUUAAGCUUCAAAAGCUAUGCCACAAUACAAAGAUAUACCAAACAGCCUUUUUAUCGGAUAACGAUAAAUCGCAACGAGGGAACCCCAAGGGUGCCUGCGACUAUUUUAGUGUGCCCAGACAGAAUAAGACUCCUGACAGUGGCAGCCGCUGAGCGAGUUGCGGCUUUAUACUGAACGUUCGGCUCUCGAGGCGGGCGUUCGGCUGCCACUCUCAGCAGUCCUACUUUGUAUGGGCACACUAAAAUAGUCACAGGUACCAUUUAGGUUCCCUCGUUGCGAUUUAUGGUUAUCCGAUAACAAGGCUGUAUGGUUAGUGGCUAUGCUCAACAACCCCGUAAAAUCAAACAAAUAGAAGUUCCUAUUGGAAUCACACAAUGUAAAACUAAAUUUUAAGUCUAUUGCCGUUUUAAAAAUAGACGAUUAGUCAAUGCACAAUAGGAUCUAGUUCAGGAAGAUCGAGUAAGAAACACAGCAGCUAUAAACAAAACGUGUGGUUAUAUUGGUUAGCCGCUUGGAGGCCAACGCAAAAGUAGUUUCUGCAUGCAUGGUGUAUUGUAUUAUAAUAUCCUUGCAGAGGGUAUAAUAAUUUUGUCGUGAAAUCUGUAACGCAUAGAAUGAGACAUC